UCCGGAAGGUAUUAGCACAGCCCCACUCCAGUACGAACCGCAUAACUUUUAAACUCCCAGACUCAAAAGAGGGGCAUCCACACGCGCGCGCGCGCACACACACGCGCACGCAGGUACAGGAAAUUCAGCCAGAGCAGAGCCUUUUCAGACCCAAGCUGACCGGAAGAUGCUGCCUUUCAUUCAUUCAUUCGGCCCGCGGGCGUGGAGUCCUGUGCUGGGUGACGAGCCCUGGCACGGAAGCUGGACAUUUUUUAGAGGUCCCUGCGCUCGCCAACAGGAGGGAAUGGAGGCUCAGGAGUGAAAUGCUGAAAGAAUUGGAUCUGGCGCCUCCGAACACAGCUGGCGAACCGGCGGAGGGUCAUUUUGCAGAGAGGGAAACCGAGGCUCAGAGAAGUCAUGAGUCUGGCUGGGGUGGCUCUGCCCCCCUGUCAUCCCCGUGUCAACACGGCAGUCAGACGUGUGGAGAGGAAGUGGCUUCCCCAGCAGAGAUCGGAUGUGAACCAUCAGCUCCUAUUGGUCACCCUAAGAGACCGCUUCCCCCACACUCGUCUCAAAGUUUCCUGCCCUGUCUUCUUGUACUCUUCCCCUUCCUCCGCCAGAGACCUCUGACAGGAAAAUAAAAAGACCAGGACUGUUGUAUCUGAAGCAUCAUCGUAAUGACUUCCUGGACCCUCCUGCUCAUUCUUACAAAAGGCCCAGUCAGAUCCCGUGUUGGCCCCAUUCAUUCAUUUCUUCAUUCAUCAAAGGUUGAUUGAGCAGCUCUGGGCUUUAAGACAGAGGGUAUGGAGGAACCAGCUCCGUCUGUGGACAUACUCCGGGCUGGGCAGGGAGUGGCCCCCCGGCUUCCCAAGGCAGUUAGUUAGGAAGGGCUGCUACGGGCUGGAACCCUCAGAAGUCAGGAUUUUCAAACUGUCAGAAAUGGAGGCUGUUGUCACGCUUACAUAGAAUUACAAUAGCUCCUGGGUUUUGAGAGCUCACUAUAACUCUCGUUGAGCAAAGCCACUCACUCGCUUUUGCUUUCUCCAAAUCUUCACCAAAGUUCUAAGAAGGAGGGUCCGUAAUGCCCCACUCUUAGAGCUGGGGCUCACACAGAGGUUAGGUUACUUGGCCAACAUUUACAGCUGUGAAACAGCAAAGACAGGACUUGAACCCCGGGCUUACAGGAAUCCAGAGCCCACAGACUUGAGCGCUAUGCCUCCCUGCAGGUCUGCCCUAACACAGGAGCCCGCAGCCACAUCAACUACUGAGCACCUGAAACACAGGCCAUGGCAUUAAGACAUGGAAUGUUAAAAAUUUAUUUACUUGUAAUGAAAUGUAAAUACUUAUAUGUAACUCCUCUUUAACUUACUGGGCCGUUGCAGCCUUCGAAUGCUUUCCAGAAUUGGUCAUAAUAACUCACCUACCUCACCGUCUGAUUCGGCACUGGGCCCCUGUAUCGACCUUCUGGCAACAUUUGGGGAGUGAAUGAAGAGAGUGAAGUAUUAUAAUGAUGAGGUGCGGGGAGGGCGCCUGGGACGUCGCAAAGGUUUCCUUCGAAGGGGCCAUCUGGUACCACGGGAGUGUCUGCGGUGUUUGGGGAUGCCAGUUGGACAGAGGAUUGUCCCACCUGCCUGGAUCAGACAGACUUCUCAAGGACAGAAAAGCUUUCACACGCAUUACCUCAUGUAAAAGGAACUGCUGGAACAGAAGCAUUUACAUAAAGCAACACUGAAACUCCCAAACGGCGUGAGUGAGCUACGUGACCUUGAAUCAGACGCCCAAACACUCUCAGUCGUCCCGCCUGUAAAAUGGGAGUCAUAUUAUCGAACCUGUAAGAGCUGCAUGAGGUCUGGAUGAGCCAAUGUUCUGUAACGUGGUGGUCCAUAGAUGAUGCAUCUUCGCUGAAAUGAAGUCGACCCUCUGGACUUCAUAACCCUAACUAGUGGAUUGGGGAAACUGAGUGUGUCCUCGCCACCCCACCUCUCCGCACCCCGCCAGGGGAAUGCUGGAGGGGAAACCUCCCCCAGGUGGGCAGAACAGCCCGGCUUUUCUCUCUUUCCUGCCCUCCCAGGGCUCAGUCUGGUGAGAGCAAAGGCAGCAAUAAGAUAAUGAGAUAAGCAUUUUGAGGGGCAGGAAGGAGAAGAUACUGAAGUUGAUUCCAGGAGGAUACCGGUUUUGGAGAGAAAGAGGACUGGCAGGAGAGAGGGCUCCCCACAGAGGACAUGCAGAGGCCUGGGGGAGAGAAAGCAGGUUUAUUUGAAGAACUCGGAAUCGUUCAUGCAGCACGCUCCAGCUUUGCAGGAAACCCACUGGGGAGGUCUCAUCCACUGCCCCGGCUCGGUCACUGAUGUGUCUCCUACCUAGCACACUGCCAGAACCUCCUCUAAAAGUAUGUGUCUAGCCCUGGCUGGCGUAGCUCAGUGGAUUGAGUGCGGGCUGCAAACCAAAGGGUUGCAGGUUUGCUCCCAGUCAGGG
Long non-coding RNA from Phyllostomus hastatus (greater spear-nosed bat), 2454 nucleotides. RefSeq lists it as uncharacterized. The transcript is spliced from 4 exons. The record is from RefSeq and is a predicted model, not a curated record. NCBI's taxonomy places the organism in Eukaryota, Metazoa, Chordata, Mammalia, Chiroptera, Phyllostomidae.